This 434-nucleotide ribosomal RNA is filed under the name uncultured bacterium. RNAcentral's name for it is "partial 16S ribosomal RNA". It matches the Rfam family "Bacterial small subunit ribosomal RNA", at positions 29 to 507 of the family's 1533-position model. The record is from RNAcentral.
AGCGAACGCUGGCGGCAGGCCUAACACAUGCAAGUCGAACGAACCUUUCGGGGUUAGUGGCGGACGGGUGAGUAACACGUGGGAACGUGCCUUUAGGUUCGGAAUAACUCAGGGAAACUUGUGCUAAUACCGAAUGUGCCCUUCGGGGGAAAGAUUUAUCGCCUUUAGAGCGUCCCGCGUCUGAUUAGCUAGUUGGUUGAGGUAAUGGCUCACCAAGGCGACGAUCAGUAGCUGGUCUGAGAGGAUGAUCAGCCACAUUGGGACUGAGACACGGCCCAAACUCCUACGGGAGGCAGCAGUGGGGAAUCUUGCGCAAUGGGCGAAAGCCUGACGCAGCCAUGCCGCGUGAAUGAUGAAGGUCUUAGGAUUGUAAAAUUCUUUCACCGGGGACGAUAAUGACGGUACCCGGAGAAGAAGCCCCGGCUAACUUCGUG